This 448-nucleotide ribosomal RNA is filed under the name uncultured Planctomycetota bacterium. RNAcentral's name for it is "bacterial SSU rRNA". It matches the Rfam family "Bacterial small subunit ribosomal RNA", at positions 217 to 656 of the family's 1533-position model. The record is from RNAcentral. Lineage: Bacteria; Pseudomonadati; Planctomycetota.
GCCUAGAGAGGGGUCAAUGUCCUAUCAGCUAGUUGGUAGGGUAAUGGCCUACCAAGGCGAAGACGGGUAGCCGGCCUGAGAGGGUGGUCGGCCACACUGGGACUGAGACACUGCCCAGACUCCUACGGGAGGCUGCAGUCGAGAAUCUUUCGCAAUGCCCGAAAGGGUGACGAAGCGACGCCGCGUGUGGGAAGAAGGCCUUCGGGUUGUAAACCACUGUCGGGAGUUAAGAAAUGUAAGGGUGCUAAUAGUAUCCUUACUUGACUAAGGCUCCGGAGGAAGCCACGGCUAACUCUGUGCCAGCAGCCGCGGUAAUACAGAGGCGGCAAGCGUUGUUCGGAAUUAUUGGGCGUAAAGAGCACGUAGGCGGCCUUGUAAGUCAGUUGUGAAAGCCUUCUGCUUAACGGAAGAACAGCAUCUGAUACUGCAAGGCUAGAGUGCGGAAGGG